GUGGGGAAUAUUGGGCAAUGGGCGAAAGCCUGACCCAGCAACGCCGCGUGAGGGAAGAAGGCCUUCGGGUUGUAAACCUCUGUCCUUGGUGACGAAAAAAAUGACGGUAGCCAAGGAGGAAGCCCCGGCUAACUACGUGCCAGCAGCCGCGGUAAUACGUAGGGGGCGAGCGUUGUCCGGAAUUACUGGGCGUAAAGGGUGCGUAGGUGGCCUUUUAAGUUGGAUGUGAAAUCCCCGGGCUUAACUUGGGUGGUGCAUCUAAUACUGGAGGGCUAGAGUGCAGGAGAGGGAAGCGGAAUUCCUAGUGUAGCGGUGAAAUGCGUAGAUAUUAGGAGGAACACCAGUGGCGAAGGCGGCUUUCUGGACUGUAACUGACACUGAGGCACGAAAGCGUGGGGAGCAAACAGGAUUAGAAACCCUGGUAGUCC
RNAcentral lists this ribosomal RNA (428 nucleotides) under uncultured bacterium. RNAcentral's name for it is "partial 16S ribosomal RNA". It matches the Rfam family "Bacterial small subunit ribosomal RNA", at positions 354 to 796 of the family's 1533-position model. The record is from RNAcentral.